This 468-nucleotide ribosomal RNA is filed under the name uncultured bacterium. RNAcentral's name for it is "partial 16S ribosomal RNA". It matches the Rfam family "Bacterial small subunit ribosomal RNA", at positions 28 to 507 of the family's 1533-position model. The record is from RNAcentral.
GACGAACGCUGGCGGCGUGCUUAACACAUGCAAGUCGAACGGAAAGGCCCUGCUUUUGUGGGGUGCUCGAGUGGCGAACGGGUGAGUAACACGUGAGUAACCUGCCCUUGACUUUGGGAUAACUUCAGGAAAAUGGGGCUAAUACCGGAUAGGAGCUCCUGCUGCAUGGUGGGGGUUGGAAAGUUUCGGCGGUUGGGGAUGGACUCGCGGCUUAUCAGCUUGUUGGUGGGGUAAUAGCUUACCAACGGUAUGACGGAUCGCCGGCAGGAUUAGAUGACCUGCCCUGUGUGGACUAAGUGGCGGCCCAGACCCAGUAGGGAGGGAGUGACAGCGCAUAUAGCAGGAUGGGCAGAUGCCUGGUGCAGCAACGCGGCAUGCGGAAUGACGACUUUCGGCUUUUAUGCCGCUUCCGCCGGUGACGAAGCGGGAGUGACGGUAAUGGGUAGAGAAGCACCGGCUAACUACAUA